RNAcentral lists this ribosomal RNA (441 nucleotides) under uncultured bacterium. RNAcentral's name for it is "partial 16S ribosomal RNA". It matches the Rfam family "Bacterial small subunit ribosomal RNA", at positions 339 to 795 of the family's 1533-position model. The record is from RNAcentral.
CUACGGGUUGCUCCAGUGGGGAAUAUUGGGCAAUGGGCGCAAGCCUGACCCAGCAACGCCGCGUGAGGGAAGAAGGUUUUCGGAUUGUAAACCUCUGCCCUUGGGGACGAAGAAGUGACGGUACCCAAGGAGGAAGCUCCGGCUAACUACGUGCCAGCAGCCGCGGUAAUACGUAGGGAGCAAGCGUUGUCCGGAAUUACUGGGCGUAAAGGGUGCGUAGGCGGCAUAUUAAGCCAGGUGUGAAAUACUCGGGCUCAACCCGAGGGGUGCAUUUGAAACUGAUAAGCUUGAGUGUGAGAGAGGAAAGUGGAAUUCCUAGUGUAGCGGUGGAAUGCGUAGAUAUUAGGAGGAACACCAGUGGCGAAGGCGACUUUCUGGCUCAUAACUGACGCUGAGGCACGAAAGCGUGGGGAGCAAACAGGAUUAGAUACCCUUGUAGUC